CCUACGGGGGGCUGCAGUCGAGAAUCUUCCCCAAUGGGCGAAAGCCUGAGGGAGCGACGCCGCGUGUAGGAUGAAGGCCUUCGGGUCGUAAACUACUUUUGUCGAGGACGAAUACUGACGGUACUCGAAGAAUAAGAGGUUGCUAACUCUGUGCCAGCAGCAGCGGUAAUACAGAGACCUCAAGCAUUAUCCGGAUUUAUUGGGCGUAAAGGGUCCGCAGGUGGCCAGACACGUCACGGGUUAAAUUUCAGGGCUCAACUCUGAAACCGCUCGUGAUACGGUUUGGCUCGAGCAUGGGAGAGGUACGCGGAAUUACCGGUGUAGUAGUAAAAUGCGUUAAUAUCGGUAAGAACACCAAAUGCGAAGGCAGCGUACUGGAACAUUGCUGACACUCAGGGACGAAAGCGUGGGGAGCGAAAGGGAUUAGAUACCCUAGUAGU
RNAcentral lists this ribosomal RNA (440 nucleotides) under uncultured bacterium. Its description in RNAcentral is "bacterial SSU rRNA". It matches the Rfam family "Bacterial small subunit ribosomal RNA", at positions 338 to 794 of the family's 1533-position model. The record is from RNAcentral.